This 440-nucleotide ribosomal RNA is filed under the name uncultured bacterium. RNAcentral's name for it is "partial 16S ribosomal RNA". It matches the Rfam family "Bacterial small subunit ribosomal RNA", at positions 338 to 795 of the family's 1533-position model. The record is from RNAcentral.
CCUACGGGAGGCAGCAGUGGGGAAUAUUGCACAAUGGGGGAAACCCUGAUGCAGCGACGCCGCGUGAGUGAAGAAGUAAUUCGUUAUGUAAAGCUCUAUCAGCAGGGAAGAAAAUGACGGUACCUGAGUAAGAAGCCCCGGCUAACUACGUGACAGCAGCCGGGGUACUACGUAGGGGGCAAGCGUAAUCCGGAUUUAGUGGGGGUUAAGGGAGCGUAGUCGGCAGUGCAAGUCUGGAGGGAAAGGCGGGGGCUCAACCCCCGGACUGCUCUUGAAACUGUACGGCUGGAGUGCAGGAGAGGUAAGUGGAAUUCGUAGUGUAGCGGUGAAAUGCGUAGAUAUUAGGAGGAACACCGGUGGCGAAGGCGGCUUACUGGACUGUAACUGACGUUGAGGCUCGAAAGCGUGGGGAGCAAACAGGAUUAGAUACCCGUGUAGUC